GAAACAUUAUAGAGAAAUGAAGCAAAAGGCAGAGCAUAAACGUCAAUGUUAUAAUUGACAAUCCCAAGCAACUGGGUAAUGAAUAAAGAGAAAUACAUUACAGAUACUGUAUAUACAUGAGCAGAUAUUCACAAUACAUAAUGUUCUUUAUUACCACAAGCAUUUAAACAAUACAGCUAUUGAUAGGAUAGACUGACACAGACCUUACUUGAAGCAUAUUUUUAUACUUGACAAGAAUUAGCCUUCACUUGUUUGCAGCCAUCCAAAUGGAGAAAGUACCUUCGGUUGGCAAGGUCAAGCAGCACGGAAAGGCUCAUCAUUCUUUAGCCUGGAAAUUCACACUAAAUUUGGUUAUGUGCAGUUGUGUGAUUUGUUCUACUAAAAUUACUUGAAGCAUGACCUCAAUAAGAAAAAAAAAUGAAAAUAAUUAACGAGGCUACAUGAAAAUAAUUAAUUAUGACCAACUUUCAUGAAGAUGGUCCAAUUCAUGGGUAGCGAAUUCACCGUUUUCAAUUUUCAUGCAAUAAAACAAAGUUGAUUUUGAGAGCAAUGAAUUGUCAUAUAAGUUUGGGUUUAAAGAAGCCAACUAAUCCAAAGAUGAGAAACGAGUUGUGAAUAUCUGACUACCUGGAAUAAAACUCCAAGCCAGCCUAUGAAACGUACUAAUCAAAGAAUUUUCAAUCGCUGUUCAAUAAAGUGUUCAAAUGACUUGAUUUAUCCUUUGUACAACAGAACUGAUAUAAUGUAAUAAAUCAUUAAGGAUGAAUUUGAGUAAACAUUUUAAAUUAUAACAAACACAGCUUCACUUAAUUACAGGCUUGGUCAUGAAUAUUACUUGGAACAGAUUCAUUGUUUAUGUCUGAACUUGCAAAAUUCUUAAAUGAGAAUACUAAGGAUUGUGUUCACCGAAUGUGCAUAUUUAGUAUUUGAAUUGUAUGAAACCCAAAACAAAGCAUCAUUCAAUAUUGAAUAAGUGAAUCCGGUAGCUCCUCGAAAGUAAAACCCAGAAUUGCAGUGGACGGUGUGAAGCACUUGUCCAUAUAAAGGUCCAAUGGCUCAAAUCACGUUUAAGGAAUCUCACAUCAUUCAAAGUAUAAAUGAUGACUAAAUCAUAAAUUGGUAUCCAUUGAUCUCAAUAGAGGGAGAAAAACAUGUGACUUGGGGCAUCGGUCUAAGAAGAGAAGCAAGCCCCUUCUUGCCAUGUUCAAGUGGUUGACAAGCAAUGAUAGGAUUAAAUGCAUAUUGCAGCCUCAAUGGUGCUAAUGUAUUAGCUUACUAAAAAACUGCAUUUCCAUAAUUGAUUUGUUGUUUUGUGAUGUCCAUGUCUUGUUCAUAGCAGUAAAAAAAUUAUGUAAAAGAAAUCUCAGUUGUCUAAGCUGGACAUUUUUCGAACCUAAUUGCAAGUUCAAUCACAAUUGAAGAUAACAACCGCUCCAACAUUCCAACAGACAAGGGUUAAUCUGCCUUUGCAUUGUGCAAUCACAAGUAAUUUAGAUUGUGAGGUCAAUAUAAAGGUUGUUUGUGCAUUAUACUUACAAACAUAAGUCAUGUACGACUGCCAAAUAAGUAUUAAUAUGAACAAGAGAACUAGCUCCAAACUAUUAGUUUAACAUUUCUGUGAUGCAAAGCAUAAAAUUCGGUUUAAUGUCUCAUAGUACUAACUUCUGUUGAUUAUCAAACUUGAGGCUUGCAUAUUCUAGACAACAGAUUAGGAAUAGCACAUUGAAGAAAAUGCAGUAUGCACAUACCCUGUUCUAUAAGUUUGGGCCUCCAGUCAAAUCAUUUUUCUCAAUAUCAGGCAGCACUUCUGGAUUCCUUUCCUCUGCAAUAUUUGGAUGAUGGGAUGGAGAUGUACUUAACGCUGAAGCCACAACACCAGUUUUUGCUGCUUCAGAUGAUCCUGGGCCACCACCAACAGUAGAUUUGUCUUCCAUCCAACCCGGUACUUUAUACGAUACAAGGGCAAUAUACUGCUCCAUAGCCACCUCUUGAUUCAUGUUUCCCAGCCUUUGCCAAGCAUUCCUUGCACAACGUAACUGCCCUCCAUCACUCAUACAUAGCAGCUGUCAACCCUGUUAUUAUAGCUAACUAUCAAACUAUACCUGAGUAAUUCGGUAGAGGCAGGCCUUGUUUCGUAUGUUCAUGUUCUUUUUUUCUCAGGUGGUCAAAUUUCCUAAUGUAAUAUUAUAUAAGUAGAUUUCUUUCUAGAGUUUUUUUUUGUAUGCUAAGCUGUCUGGAUUUUGGCCAAUGGCCAUACCUGAAACAUCACUAUUCAGGAUUUUAAAGAGAGAAAAGAAUGAGUAGGCACUAGUCACAUAAGGUAUAAGUUAGAUGGUCAAUUAGUUGAAGCCCGAAGGGAACAUCUCAGACUUUCCAAAUGAAGACAAAAGGGAAUAGGCAUAAGUUUUUCUGCAGGGAAAAAUAGUAGAUGCAAGCGGGAUGAGAAGAAGACAAUAAGACAUAAAGAUGACACAUAACUUACGUGGCCUACGAGGAUUAUUAAUAGUUUAUUUGUCUUUUUUUCUUUUUUGUCAGGACUCUAGCCCAGGAACUUUUGAUGCCCACAACGGGUGGUUUUGAUAGUUCAUCUCAUCUUGCACUGCAAUUAUUUUAUGCACAACCUACCACAAUUCAAACAUUUUGAUCGGCAUUUUCUUUAAUUUAUCUGCAUUGCAGCAAUUUUUGCUUCUACUAAUCUCAUGUAUUGCUAAAUGUUUGUGUUAAUUAUCUCAACUAUAUCUCCAUUAUCAAAGUCAUGCAUCUAGCAAUCAUUCCGUCAAUUUAACAAACAGAAAAAAGCAAAUAUAGAACCAAGAACAAAAACAAAGUAGAGGUAAAUUAGGUAUCAGAAAGUUUAAUACCACUUGGCACGAGCAGCAACUUUGAGAGCCAUAGGGGGCUGCUCGCGGCAGGGCCCCUCAGUAGCUACCUUAUGAAGCCCAUACAGUUCCAUUUGCACAUCGUUCCCUAAGCUUGUCAAACCUCCAUCCUUAUCUCCAAACUCCACAAACUUUGCUGCCUUUGCAAAGACCUGCUCUAAUUCACUCCUCUCAAUCCCCUCCCAAUCAUCCUCAUCACUAUCAAUAUCUAUUUUCUUCACUUGAGCUUUUUGCUUUUCUCCGCUCUCCACGACCCGAAUCUCCUCAGAUUCUUCUAUUACAUCCUUUUCAACAGAGAAUUCUACUCCAAUGGACUCAAUUUCUCUGUUUUCUUUAAGCAAAUUAUCAUGAAAAACUCUUCCUUCGAUAACCUCGUCAGAUUGUUCAAUAGCAUUCGUAUCAUCAGCCAAUAUUACGCCGACUUCUCUGUUUAACUUGAUAUCUGCUACUCUCUUCCCCAACAUAUCCUCCGACGAUUCUUCCUCUACCUUUAAACCUUCUUCGGUUGAUUUUCGAGGCAAUUGAAGGCAUUCAGUUUCAAUUGCCUCAUCGCGGUUCACCAAUUCCCCAACCUUCUCAACCUCAACCGGUUCUCCAACAAAUUCAUCGACCUUCUGGGAACCUUCUUCCACAAACUCGACUCUCUUCUCGCUCUUAAACCCCUGAACCUUCAAACUUUCAAAAUGCUGCAAAUCCUCCGAGAUACUAUCAUCAACAUAUCCAGAAAUGUUCUCAUUCUGAUCAAUAAUUUGACUCUUGGACAGCUGCGAAUCGCGACUAGAAUCGCCACCAGCCAUAGCUAUUGAAACAAGUUUAGCUAUAAGAAAAGAGAAAAGGACAGCAACAACAGCCGUGAGAAAGAGCUCUUGAAGCAGCUCCAUGGUUCUUUGUUCCAAGAAUCAAGUAAGAAGAGCUGCGAUGAAAAUAAAUGAAGAAGGAAAUAGCAGUAGAUAUAGAAAGGAAGAAUAAAAAGAUGAUUGGAGAGAGAGAGAGAGAGA
RNAcentral lists this unclassified non-coding RNA (3877 nucleotides) under Hevea brasiliensis (rubber tree). Lineage: Eukaryota; Viridiplantae; Streptophyta; Magnoliopsida; Malpighiales; Euphorbiaceae. The record is from RNAcentral.